UUUNAUCAUGGCUCAGGAUGAACGCUAGCGGCAGGCCUAACACAUGCAAGUCGAGGGGCAGCAUAGAUAGCUUGCUAUCUGAUGGCGACCGGCGCACGGGUGCGUAACGCGUAUACAACCUACCUAUUACUGAGGGAUAGCCCGAAGAAAUUUGGAUUAAUACCUCAUAGAAUUAUAAGAUGGCAUCAUUUAAUAAUUAAAGGUUACGGUAAUAGAUGGGUAUGCGUCCUAUUAGCUAGAUGGUGAGGUAACGGCUCACCAUGGCGACGAUAGGUAGGGGUCCUGAGAGGGAGAUCCCCCACACUGGUACUGAGACACGGACCAGACUCCUACGGGAGGCAGCAGUGAGGAAUAUUGGACAAUGGAGGCAACUCUGAUCCAGCCAUGCCGCGUGUAGGAAGACGGCCCUAUGGGUUGUAAACUACUUUUGUACGGGAAGAAAUACAGUCACGUGUGAUUGUUUGACGGUACCGUAAGAAUAAGCACCGGCUAACUCCGUGCCAGCAGCCGCGGUAAUACGGAGGGUGCAAGCGUUAUCCGGAAUCAUUGGGUUUAAAGGGUCCGUAGGCGGGUAAUUAAGUCAGUGGUGAAAUGCAGGGGCUCAACUCCGGCACUGCCAUUUGAUACUGGUUAUCUUGAAUUAUUGUGAAGUGGUUAGAAUAUGUAGUGUAGCGGUGAAAUGCUUAGAUAUUACAUAGAAUACCGAUUGCGAAGGGCAGAUCACUAACAAUAUAUUGACGCUGAUGGACGAAAGCGUGGGGAGCGAACAGGAUUAGAUACCCUGGUAGUCCACGCCGUAAACGAUGGUUACUAGCUGUUUGGAUCGAUUGAGAUCUGAGUGGCCAAGCGAAAGUGAUAAGUAACCCACCUGGGGAGUACGUUCGCAAGAAUGAAACUCAAAGGAAUUGACGGGGGCCCGCACAAGCGGUGGAGCAUGUGGUUUAAUUCGAUGAUACGCGAGGAACCUUACCAGGGCUUAAAUGCAGUAUGACAGAUUUGGAAACAGAUUUUUCUUCGGACAUAUUGCAAGGUGCUGCAUGGUUGUCGUCAGCUCGUGCCGUGAGGUGUCAGGUUAAGUCCUAUAACGAGCGCAACCCCUAUUUCUAGUUGCCAGCACAUAAUGGUGGGGACUCUAGAGAGACUGCCGGUGCAAACCGUGAGGAAGGUGGGGAUGACGUCAAAUCAUCACGGCCCUUACGUCCUGGGCUACACACGUGCUACAAUGGUAGGGACAGAGAGCAGCCACUUCGCGAGAAGGAGCGAAUCUACGAACCCUAUCUCAGUUCGGAUCGCAGUCUGCAACUCGACUGCGUGAAGCUGGAAUCGCUAGUAAUCGCAUAUCAGCCAUGAUGCGGUGAAUACGUUCCCGGGCCUUGUACA
This 1380-nucleotide ribosomal RNA is filed under the name uncultured bacterium. RNAcentral describes it as "bacterial SSU rRNA". It matches the Rfam family "Bacterial small subunit ribosomal RNA", at positions 12 to 1387 of the family's 1533-position model. The record is from RNAcentral.